GAUGAAUGCUGGCGGCGUGCCUAACACAUGCAAGUCGAGCGGCAGCGCGGAGAGUUUACUCUCUGGCGGCGAGCGGCGGACGGCUGAGUAACGCGUGGGAACGUGCCCCAAAGUGAGGAAUAACUGCCCGAAAGGGUGGCUAAUGCCGCAUAUGAUCUUCGGAUUAAAGGAUUUAUCCGCUUUGGGAGCGGCCCGCGUCGGAUUAGGUUGUUGGUGAGGUAAGGGCUCACCAAGCCGACGAUCCGUAGCUGGUCUGAGAGGAUGAUCAGCCAGACUGGGACUGAGACACGGCCCAGACUCCUACGGGAGGCAGCAGUGAGGAAUCUUCCACAAUGGGCGAAAGCCUGAUGGAGCAACGCCGCGUGCAGGAUGAAGGCCUUCGGGUUGUAAACUGCUUUUAUAAGUGAAGAAUAUGACGGUAACUUAUGAAUAAGCACCGGCUAACUACGUGCCAGCAGCCGCCGCGU
This 467-nucleotide ribosomal RNA is filed under the name uncultured bacterium. RNAcentral describes it as "partial 16S ribosomal RNA". It matches the Rfam family "Bacterial small subunit ribosomal RNA", at positions 28 to 523 of the family's 1533-position model. The record is from RNAcentral.